GGAGAUAUGGCUCAGUUGGCAGACUGCCUGCCUCCUAUGCACAAGACCCUGGGUUCAAUCCCCAGCACCACCA
RNAcentral lists this transfer RNA (73 nucleotides) under Ictidomys tridecemlineatus (thirteen-lined ground squirrel). RNAcentral's name for it is "Spermophilus tridecemlineatus (thirteen-lined ground squirrel) tRNA". It matches the Rfam family "tRNA". Rfam says of the family: Transfer RNA (tRNA) molecules are approximately 80 nucleotides in length. Their secondary structure includes four short double-helical elements and three loops (D, anti-codon, and T loops). The record is from Rfam by way of RNAcentral. Lineage: Eukaryota; Metazoa; Chordata; Mammalia; Rodentia; Sciuridae.